Molecule: ribosomal RNA, 263 nt
Filed under: uncultured bacterium
Lineage: Bacteria
Description: partial 16S ribosomal RNA
Rfam family: Bacterial small subunit ribosomal RNA
Source: RNAcentral
AGCUUGCUCCCCGGGAUCAGUGGCGGACGGGUGAGUAACGCGUGAGCAACCUGCCUGUGUGUGGGGGAUAACACCCGGAAACGGGUGCUAAUACCGCAUAACGCAACGGAGCCGCAUGACUUUGUUGCCAAAGAUAUAUUGCGCACAGAUGGGCUCGCGUCUGAUUAGAUAGUUGGUGAGGUAACGGCUCACCAAGUCGACGAUCAGUAGCCGGACUGAGAGGUUGACCGGCCACAUUGGGACUGAGAUACGGCCCAGACUCC